This is a long non-coding RNA of Larimichthys crocea (large yellow croaker), 546 nucleotides long. RefSeq lists it as uncharacterized. The record is from RefSeq and is a predicted model, not a curated record. NCBI's taxonomy places the organism in Eukaryota, Metazoa, Chordata, Actinopteri, Sciaenidae. The transcript is spliced from 3 exons.
GUAAUAUUUCUCAGCCAAUCAAAUCAGUGCAUUCCAAUAGACAUUGCGACAUGAGUGGGUGAGAUUCACACACGAGGGAGACGAGACGAGACAGUCAGAGAAAUAACUUAAAUAAACUUCAGAGGCUCCUGAGAACAAGUUCUUUCCUCCUGAGCUGAUUUCAUCGAUCAGCAAUUUCUCCAUCACACGCCAGUUGGAAAGCACCUCUGUCCUGACCACAUCACCGUCAUGCCAAUAAUGACGGUAAAGCACACCCUCUCGUGUAAUAUCACUUAUUUAUAACCUGAUUAAAAGUGUGACUCAGCGAUAUCUGAAAAUGCUAACAGGAUGCUGUCGUGUUAGCAAUGGCCGUACUGCAAUUAACUACUACAGACGAGGAUUGAAAGCAAACAAACACAGGUUUCCAAUUGAACCCACUCAUUGUGUAACUAUGACAACAAUGGCAACUGCAUGUCAGCAUGAAGCCCUUAUCCCGUAUGAAACAACCAAGCAUUGAGCUCCCUGCUGACAGGGUGCCACACACACACACACACACACACACACACA